GGAAGGAUGGCGGAGCGGUCGAUCGCGGCGGUCUUGAAAACCGUUGAGCCGCAAGGCUCCGGGGGUUCGAAUCCCUCUCCUUCCGC
Molecule: transfer RNA, 86 nt
Filed under: Alistipes dispar
Lineage: Bacteria; Pseudomonadati; Bacteroidota; Bacteroidia; Bacteroidales; Rikenellaceae
Description: tRNA-Ser
Rfam family: tRNA
About the family: Transfer RNA (tRNA) molecules are approximately 80 nucleotides in length. Their secondary structure includes four short double-helical elements and three loops (D, anti-codon, and T loops).
Source: RNAcentral